Molecule: non-coding RNA, 34 nt
Filed under: Geotalea daltonii FRC-32
Lineage: Bacteria; Pseudomonadati; Thermodesulfobacteriota; Desulfuromonadia; Geobacterales; Geobacteraceae
Source: RNAcentral
CAAAACCUACCGCGACGGCAAAUUCGGCGUCAGC